GACAAUCGUUGAUGUAUGAGGCUUGAUAAAUCAUUCUGGAUCGAGCAUGGUUGAUACGCUCGAAAGGAAAUGUUGUGUGUCCUAAAGACAAGCGUUAACACUCUUUAGAUGUGAUGUGGGAGACCAUCUAGUUGAAGU
Molecule: long non-coding RNA, 138 nt
Organism: Populus euphratica (Euphrates poplar)
Lineage: Eukaryota; Viridiplantae; Streptophyta; Magnoliopsida; Malpighiales; Salicaceae
Exons: 3
Source: RefSeq, a predicted model, not a curated record